RNAcentral lists this small nuclear RNA (144 nucleotides) under Microcebus murinus (gray mouse lemur). Its description in RNAcentral is "U2 spliceosomal RNA (ENSMICG00000023463.3)". The stretch from base 1 to 97 matches the Rfam family "U2 spliceosomal RNA". Rfam says of the family: U2 is a small nuclear RNA (snRNA) component of the spliceosome (involved in pre-mRNA splicing). Complementary binding between U2 snRNA (in an area lying towards the 5' end but 3' to hairpin I) and the branchpoint sequence (BPS) of the intron results the bulging out of an unpaired adenosine, on the BPS, which initiates a nucleophilic attack at the intronic 5' splice site, thus starting the first of two transesterification reactions that mediate splicing. The record is from RNAcentral. Lineage: Eukaryota; Metazoa; Chordata; Mammalia; Primates; Cheirogaleidae.
AUCGCUUCUCAGCCUUUUCGCUAGGAUCAAGUGUAGUAUCUGUUUUUAUCAGUUUAAUAUCUGAUACAUUAAAAUUUUUUUUAAAUUAAAAAAAUAAAUAAGUAAAGUCUGUCUUCCUUAAAGUUAGGGGGAAAGCAAAAGUUC